ACAACAUUGACCCUCCGCCAACUUUAUAUUCCGUAUUGAAUUCAUAAUAGUGGCCUUUUGCACUUGCAGGCGCCAGCGUAAAUUGGAAAGCCAUAGGAGCCAGGCCACUGGAUGGUGCUGUGGAUUGAUUGAAGCCAAAGACUUACCUGCCAUUCCAAGACUCAAGAUUGAUUGUACCUCAUGUUACUCGGUCCCACACGCAUGCAUGAAAUCCUGGAAUCUGACCGGAGCGUACACUGCAACACGGCCCAGAUUAACCCUGUUGGUUCCAUGGGGAACUUGCCAUCCAGUCGUGUCAAAUCACCGGCACUGUUUCGUCAGGGAAAGAUGCGUCACGGUUUGAUCUUCUGAACAAUCUCGGUCGUGAAACGACGACAGCUUGUUCGUGUCCUUGCAGAAAAGAAAGCCUUCCGAUCUCUCAGGUCGAGGAGGCGCAAGUACCAAUCCAACACAAGUAAUUGGCGUCGAGUUGUUGUGCCCUGCAAGGGAGAAAACCAGUAAAGAGCUUGUGAU
This is a long non-coding RNA of Phragmites australis (common reed), 513 nucleotides long. RefSeq lists it as uncharacterized. NCBI's taxonomy places the organism in Eukaryota, Viridiplantae, Streptophyta, Magnoliopsida, Poales, Poaceae. The transcript is spliced from 3 exons. The record is from RefSeq and is a predicted model, not a curated record.